UACGUAGGGUGCAAGCGUUAAUCGGAAUUACUGGGCGUAAAGCGUGCGCAGGCGGUGAUGUAAGACAGGUGUGGAAUCCCCGGGCUUAACCUGGGAACUGCAUUUGUGACUGCAUCGCUGGAGUGCGGCAGAGGGGGAUGGAAUUCCGCGUGUAGCAGUGAAAUGCGUAGAUAUGCGGAGGAACACCGAUGGCGAAGGCAAUCCCCUGGGCCUGCACUGACGCUCAUGCACGAAAGCGUGGGGAGCAAACAGG
Molecule: ribosomal RNA, 253 nt
Filed under: uncultured bacterium
Lineage: Bacteria
Description: partial 16S ribosomal RNA
Rfam family: Bacterial small subunit ribosomal RNA
Source: RNAcentral